CAGCUUCCCAGUCAGAGCUGUGGGGGAAGCUACCGAGGCAGCUGUGAAAAGAGCUAACCUCCGGUCCGUGGGGAGUCCGUUGCCGCCAUCAUGCGAUGUUAAACUGAGGAAUUGGCCAGGUGUUCUUGAUUAGGAUGGCGAGCUAAGACCGGAACCUACAUCUUCAUCUCACCCUACGGGUCUGGUAGGAGGCUGACACAGCCUGC
Periophthalmus magnuspinnatus is the source of this 206-nucleotide long non-coding RNA. RefSeq lists it as uncharacterized. Lineage: Eukaryota; Metazoa; Chordata; Actinopteri; Gobiiformes; Gobiidae. The transcript is spliced from 3 exons. The record is from RefSeq and is a predicted model, not a curated record.